This 465-nucleotide ribosomal RNA is filed under the name uncultured bacterium. RNAcentral describes it as "partial 16S ribosomal RNA". It matches the Rfam family "Bacterial small subunit ribosomal RNA", at positions 28 to 507 of the family's 1533-position model. The record is from RNAcentral.
GACGAACGCUGGCGGCGUGCUUAACACAUGCAAGUCGAACGGUGAACUCCGCUUGCGGGGGGAUCAGUGGCGAACGGGUGAGUAACACGUGGGCAACCUGCCCUCAGCUCUGGGAUAACUCCAAGAAAUUGGGGCUAAUACCGGAUAUGACCGCUGACCGCCUGGUCUGGUGGUGGAAAGAUUUAUCGGCUGGGGAUGGGCCCGCGGCCUAUCAGCUUGUUGGUGGGGUAGUGGCCUACCAAGGCGACGACGGGUAGCCGGCCUGAGAGGGUGACCGGCCACGCUGGGACUGAGACACGGCCCAGACUCCUACGGGAGGCAGCAGUGGGGAAUAUUGCGCAAUGGGCGAAAGCCUGACGCAGCGACGCCGCGUGGGGGAUGACGGCCUUCGGUUUGUAAACCUCUUUCAGCAGGGACGAAGCGAAAGUGACGGUACCUGCAGAAGAAGCACCGGCCAACUACGUG